This 433-nucleotide ribosomal RNA is filed under the name uncultured bacterium. RNAcentral describes it as "partial 16S ribosomal RNA". It matches the Rfam family "Bacterial small subunit ribosomal RNA", at positions 29 to 507 of the family's 1533-position model. The record is from RNAcentral.
AACGAUCGCUGGCGGCAUGCCUAACACAUGCAAGUCGAACGAAGCCUUCGGGCUUAGUGGCGCACGGGUGCGUAACGCGUGGGAAUCUGCCCUUGGGUUCGGAAUAACAGUUAGAAAUGACUGCUAAUACCGGAUGAUGUCUUCGGACCAAAGAUUUAUCGCCCAAGGAUGAGCCCGCGUCGGAUUAGCUAGUUGGUGAGGUAAAGGCUCACCAAGGCGACGAUCCGUAGCUGGUCUGAGAGGAUGAUCAGCCACACUGGGACUGAGACACGGCCCAGACUCCUACGGGAGGCAGCAGUGGGGAAUAUUGGACAAUGGGCGAAAGCCUGAUCCAGCAAUGCCGCGUGAGUGAUGAAGGCCUUAGGGUUGUAAAGCUCUUUUACCCGGGAUGAUAAUGACAGUACCGGGAGAAUAAGCCCCGGCUAACUCCGUG